Molecule: long non-coding RNA, 261 nt
Organism: Etheostoma cragini (Arkansas darter)
Lineage: Eukaryota; Metazoa; Chordata; Actinopteri; Perciformes; Percidae
Exons: 3
Source: RefSeq, a predicted model, not a curated record
AGGGGCCGGCGGCCUUCAUUUUGGCCAAGCUGACGUGUUCAGUCAGAAAGCGGGCACUGCCGGCAGUCUGACUCAAAUGACUAAUCUGAUUGGUGGAGUGCUAACCCGGAAAUGACGAGCUGGAUGAGUGUGACCAGAGUCUCUCAAAAUCUGGCAAAAGUCUUUUAAACGGACCUUUGUGGAUCUGAAAUGAAGACAGAUUCAGCAGCCGCACGGCUGAUUCUCCUUCAAAUGUUGUCGGAAACAUUGUUUUAGGAAAAU